Amblyraja radiata (thorny skate) is the source of this 138-nucleotide long non-coding RNA. RefSeq lists it as uncharacterized. The transcript is spliced from 3 exons. The record is from RefSeq and is a predicted model, not a curated record. NCBI's taxonomy places the organism in Eukaryota, Metazoa, Chordata, Chondrichthyes, Rajiformes, Rajidae.
AACUUUUUUAAUGACUGAAGGAUGCUGACCAUUUCAAAGACAUUGCUGGCUAUUUUUCCAAGGAAGAGUUUGAAGAAAUAAGUGACUGGAAGAUGCUCCGUUAUAAGAAUGUGAAGUGGAAUUAUGAAGCCAUACUUG